RNAcentral lists this ribosomal RNA (500 nucleotides) under uncultured bacterium. RNAcentral describes it as "partial 16S ribosomal RNA". It matches the Rfam family "Bacterial small subunit ribosomal RNA", at positions 30 to 523 of the family's 1533-position model. The record is from RNAcentral.
AUUGAACGCUGGCGGAAUGCUUUACACAUGCAAGUCGAACGGCAGCGCGGGGGCAACCCUGGCGGCGAGUGGCGAACGGGUGAGUAAUGCAUCGGAACGUGCCCAGUCGUGGGGGAUAACGUAGCGAAAGCUACGCUAAUACCGCAUACGAUCUGAGGAUGAAAGCGGGGGACCUUCGGGCCUCGCGCGAUUGGAGCGGCCGAUGGCAGAUUAGGUAGUUGGUGGGGUAAAGGCUCACCAAGCCUGCGAUCUGUAGCUGGUCUGAGAGGACGACCAGCCACACUGGGACUGAGACACGGCCCAGACUCCUACGGGAGGCAGCAGUGGGGAAUUUUGGACAAUGGGCGCAAGCCUGAUCCAGCCAUUCCGCGUGCAGGAUGAAGGCCUUCGGGUUGUAAACUGCUUUUGUACGGAACGAAACGACCUUCUCUAAUACGGGGGGUUAAUGACGGUACCGUAAGAAUAAGCACCGGCUAACUACGUGCCAGCAGCCGCCGUAA